UCGGGUCUAGCGGCGGACGGGUUAGUAACGCGUGGGAAUGUACCCUUCACUUCGGAAUAGUCCCGGGAAACUGGGUUUAAUACCGUAUACGCCCUUCGGGGGAAAGAUUUAUCGGUGAAGGAUCAGCCCGCGUCUGAUUAGAUAGUUGGUGGGGUAAUGGCCUACCAAGUCUACGAUCAGUAGCUGGUUUGAGAGGAUGAUCAGCAACACUGGGACUGAGACACGGCCCAGACUCCUACGGGAGGCAGCAGUGGGGAAUCUUAGACAAUGGGCGCAAGCCUGAUCUAGCCAUGCCGCGUGAGUGAUGAAGGCCUUAGGGUCGUAAAGCUCUUUCGCUGGGGAAGAUAAUGACGGUACCCAGUAAAGAAACCCCGGCUAACUCCGUGCCAGCAGCCGCGGUAAUACGGAGGGGGUUAGCGUUGCUCGGAAUUACUGGGCGUAAAGCGCGCGUAGGCGGAUUGGAAAGUUGGGGGUGAAAUCCCGGGGCUCAACCCCGGAACUGCCUCCAAAACUAUCAGUCUAGAGGUCGAGAGAGGUGAGUGGAAUUCCGAGUGUAGAGGUGAAAUUCGUAGAUAUUCGGAGGAACACCAGUGGCGAAGGCGGCUCACUGGCUCGAUACUGACGCUGAGGUGCGAAAGCGUGGGGAGCA
This 649-nucleotide ribosomal RNA is filed under the name uncultured marine bacterium. RNAcentral's name for it is "bacterial SSU rRNA". It matches the Rfam family "Bacterial small subunit ribosomal RNA", at positions 86 to 770 of the family's 1533-position model. The record is from RNAcentral.